GCAAGUCGAACGUGAAAACCUUCGGGUGAGUAGCGUGGCGGACGGGCGAGUAACACGUAAUCAAGCUACCUGCCAGACGGGGACAACUUUGGGAAACCGAUGGUAAGACCCGAUGGUCUCACGACAUCGCAUGGUGAUGUGAGUAAAUGGACGGGACCCUCCGGGGCCGUCUGCUGGCAGAGGUGAUUGCGGCCCAUCAGCUUGUUGGUAGGGUAAUGGCCUACCAAGGCUACGACGGGUAGCCGGCCUAAGAGGGUGGUC
Molecule: ribosomal RNA, 261 nt
Filed under: uncultured bacterium
Lineage: Bacteria
Description: partial 16S ribosomal RNA
Rfam family: Bacterial small subunit ribosomal RNA
Source: RNAcentral